Molecule: ribosomal RNA, 241 nt
Filed under: uncultured bacterium
Lineage: Bacteria
Description: partial 16S ribosomal RNA
Rfam family: Bacterial small subunit ribosomal RNA
Source: RNAcentral
GAUCCUGGCUCAGGAUGAACGCUAGCUACAGGCUUAACACAUGCAAGUCGAGGGGGCGAGCGGGGGUUGAAGCUUGCUUCAACCGCCGGCGACCGGCGCACGGGUGAGUAACGCGUAUCCAACCUGCCCACCACUUGGGGAUAACCUUGCGAAAGUAAGACUAAUACCCAAUGAUAUCUCUAGAAGACAUCUGAAAGAGAUUAAAGAUUUAUCGGUGAUGGAUGGGGAUGCGUCUGAUUAG